ACACAUCUAACCACUCUUCAGCUGAUAUCCACUUGCUGACAAAUGAAUCUCUCUGGCCCCUGGACUGUGCCCUGAAACACAGCUUAAAACAGCAGAAUGAACAGUAAUCCCAGAGAUCCUGAGAUGAGAAAAGGGUGUUUGACUUAUUCAAAGAAGACCAAGGAAGCCCAAAGACCAGAGAAGAGUGCAGGAAAGGGGCGGCGGUCUGAGAUGCAGUCAGAGCAGUGGCAAGCCCCCAGAGUCUGUGGCAAAGACUUCAGGUUUCAUCCUGAAGAGGAAGACAGGUCUUUGGAGAGUUUUGAUCAAGGAAGUGAGAUGAAAUAUCUUAGGCUUACAAAGAACUACUCUGACAUCUAAAUGGAAAAUGGACUGAUGAAGCAAAAGAAGCCACAAGGAAGCCAGUUCAGAGGCUAUUGAAAUGCUCCAGAGGAACAGCGGUUUAUUGAAAGGAAAGCAAAUGUCCAGAAGCAAAAACAAACAAACAAAAAACAAACAAACAAACAAAAACAGAAAAAACUUCCCCAAAAGUAAAGAAUCACAGCUUUAUUCAGUAGCUCCUCAAUUAAAAUAGUCAUCUUCUUAAUUGUGCCAUCUUCAGAAGCAGCCAUAUAUACUGUAGUUAAGAGGCACAUGGUGAGAAAUUUGGGGUCCAAUCAAGAUGAUAGGAUUCAUCUACAUGGCAGCCCUCAAAGAUUCUGGAAGAGAAAAAUGGUGAAAAGAUACUCAGAGAGUGAGAGCCUUCAGAUUUGGGUGAGUGAUGCCAUUAGAACCAAGAUUUCUUCCAUUCUUCUGCUCUAUCAUUCUCAGCACAACAUGCUUUUCUCAUUAAGAUUUUCAAAAAUGCUUGUUGAUAAAAUGAAGUCAGAAUGUGAGAUGAGCCCUUCCACCUGAGUGAUGUUGGUCUUGGCUGUGUGAUUUGCUUUGGCUGAUGAUAAGUUGAUGGAAGUGAUAGUAAGACAAUGCUGAGCCUCAUCCUCGGAAGUAUCUCUGCCUUCACCUGGCUUUGUGCACCACUGCCCUGGCUUUGAGAAGAACAUGAGCCCAGUAAAUUGUUAGUCCAGGAAGAAUGAGAGAGAAAGUCCUGAGGCAGAGAAGUGGAGAGAAGUUGCUGCUUGAGCUUGAGAAAGAAUGGUGGCAGAGUACAUGCAUGGAAGUGCUACCAUAGCUGCUCUGAAAUCAGAGGAAAGUGGAAUUAUAAGAAGACCCCAUCUGACAAGGCUCAUAAAGGAGAGCAACUCUUAUGGAAUACAUCCAAGAUAUAUACGUCUUUGAAGAAAGACAUCACUCAACUGUGAAAGAUCACCAUGACCCCUGCUUUAAUUUCAUCAAAAAACUUAGUCCAUCAGCUCAGUUACCCUUUAGCCUUGCAUGGGAAUUGACUCAGAGCUUCUGCAAGAUCAGGCCCUAUAUUAGGUAUUGAGGGUUCAGGGAUGAACUAAGCUGAUCUGGUUCCUGCUCUCUAGGCUGUAGAAGAUGGCAAGUGCUGUGGACUUCAAAGAAAAGAUUUCUGAAGUGUCAUGUUAUGACAAUUGUGAUGCUUCAAACUAUGUUGACUAUUCAUUUACAGCAUAAAGAAGAGUGAGCCACUUUAUCACUGCAGUAAUUAUAUUUUAAAAAUAAAGAAAAUAAAACAAAUGGAGUUUCCCACCCAAUCCAUGGAGACACAGACACGAAGUCUUACUAUAGAUGUGUGGCCAAUCCUUACAUUGCUUUUAUUACAAGCCUGGAAAUGACAAUAAAAUACAUGAACUUGAGAGUAUAUA
RNAcentral lists this long non-coding RNA (1763 nucleotides) under Homo sapiens (human). RNAcentral describes it as "HSALNT0393707". Lineage: Eukaryota; Metazoa; Chordata; Mammalia; Primates; Hominidae. The record is from RNAcentral.